RNAcentral lists this long non-coding RNA (1549 nucleotides) under Sus scrofa (pig). RNAcentral describes it as "lncRNA (ENSSSCG00040052903.1)". The record is from RNAcentral. Lineage: Eukaryota; Metazoa; Chordata; Mammalia; Artiodactyla; Suidae.
GGCCUGGAUGAGACCCAUCCUGGCAAGAUCUGGGCUGGACCACGUCAGGCCCAAAGAAGGAAGAUGGAGGCUAGAGGAGGGGACAGGGCCUGUGUCGGUCAGAGGAGGAUCGAGACAGACCACUUCUGCCUCCCACCUGGCAGGCCCAGGAGGGCCGGGGGUUCUGGGGGGCGGGGGGCGGGGUGGUCUGGGCUGCAGGUGUGUUGUGGCCUGGCUCCCACCCCAGAAGUAAAUCGCUUCAUUUCCCUGUUUCCUCCCAUCUACCGAGGUUUGUUGGCAUCCUCGUAUUUACUCGGAGCAUUUUGUUCUGUAACUGGAGAAGGAGAGGGACUGUCUGUUGGGAGUAGUUCCAAGAAGAGGAGGAGUAAGGAGGGGACAGGCCCUCCUCCCUGGCUCUCUGGCCUGCACUUGGGGCCACGGGUUAGAGGCUGCAGCCACGAGCAGGACCAGCUCUUGCCACAAAGAAGUGUAGGUCCCUUGAUUCAUCCGGAAGAGGAAUUCUUCCAGAAGGAGAAUAUUCAUCUAGGAUGGGGCAGAAUUGGGAGAUAAGAGGUAAGAGACCUUUUCCUCAAAAAACUGGAGACCCAGCAGAAGGCACAGCUCCCUUCCUCCGGGGUCUUGGGUAAGUCAUUUCACCUCUCCGGGCCUCAGUUCGCUCAUCUAUGAAAUGAGGGCGUGUGUUUAGCUUCCUUCUGAGGCUCCUCCAACUCUGUCAUUGACGGGGCCUCCGGGCAGCACCCUGUCCCCGUCAUCUGUAGGGAAACAGAGGCUCCAGGGGAGGGAGCCCACCGGGUCUUGUGCGUCUGGCCAGGCUUUUCUGGCUGGAACUUUCUCUCCAGGUGCUGCGGGCUUUGUCAGCAGCCUGGGAGACGGGGGACAUGGAGGAUCACAGCGGCAGAUCUUAAAUCAAAGCCCGGGCCAUCCAUCUUCCAGAAGAGACGGAAAUAACUAGGUGGGUGGCACAGACCGCCACCGCAUGGACAGCGAGAGAUUAGAAAGCUGGAAUCUUGAGCCCCUAAGUCCCUUCACCAAUUUCCCCAAACCCCAGGGACCUGCCUGCUGAAGGGAGAACUCAUUUUAGACUUAGCCCAGGAGGGUCCGUGGGCUCGACUGCAGGAAAUUCCUCUGUGUGGGGGCUUCUGAAGGCCCUUCCCCCACCACUGUUCUCUUAGCCCCCUUGCCCAUAGUUUCUCCUUGCAGGCACCCUCACGAGAGUCAGGCUGGCAGUGGUGGGGUAGCCGAGUGGUUAGUGGGUGUGCCAGACCGAUGGCUCAAAUCCUGGCUCCACUGCUCACCAGCUCUGCAAAGCUGGGCAAGCUGCAAAGAGACGGUUUGGCUCUCAGUUUCCUCAUCUAUAAAGCAGGAAGGAGGGGUUCCCGUCGUGGCUCAGUGGAAACAAAUCUGAUUGGCAACCAGGACACAGGUUCGAUCCCUGGUCUUGCUCAGUGGGUUAAGGAUCUGGCGUAGCCCUGAGCUGUGGUGUAGGUCACAGAUGCGGCUCAGAUCUGGUGUUGCUGUGGCUGUGGUGUAGGCCGGCAGCUGUAGCUCU